UGCCGCGUGUGUGAAGAAGGCCCUCGGGUUGUAAAGCACUUUCAGCGAGGAAGAACGCCUAGCGGUUAAUACCCGCUAGGAAAGACAUCACUCGCAGAAGAAGCACCGGCUAACUCCGUGCCAGCAGCCGCGGUAAUACGGAGGGUGCAAGCGUUAAUCGGAAUUACUGGGCGUAAAGCGCGCGUAGGUGGCUUGAUAAGCCGGUUGUGAAAGCCCCGGGCUCAACCUGGGAACGGCAUCCGGAACUGUCAAGCUAGAGUGCAGGAGAGGAAGGUAGAAUUCCCGGUGUAGCGGUGAAAUGCGUAGAGAUCGGGAGGAAUACCAGUGGCGAAGGCGGCCUUCUGGACUGACACUGACACUGAGGUGCGAAAGCGUGGGUAGCAAACAGGAUUAGAUACCCUGGUAGUCCACGCCGUAAACGAUGUCGACCAGCCGUUGGGUGCCUAGCGCACUUUGUGGCGAAGUUAACGCGAUAAGUCGACCGCCUGGGGAGUACGGCCGCAAGGUUAAAACUCAAAUGAAUUGACGGGGGCCCGCACAAGCGGUGGAGCAUGUGGUUUAAUUCGAUGCAACGCGAAGAACCUUACCUACUCUUGACAUCCUGCGAAUUUGGUAGAGAUACCUUAGUGCCUUCGGGAACGCAGAGACAGGUGCUGCAUGGCUGUCGUCAGCUCGUGUUGUGAAAUGUUGGGUUAAGUCCCGUAACGAGCGCAACCCUUG
This 720-nucleotide ribosomal RNA is filed under the name Halomonas sp. R80. RNAcentral describes it as "bacterial SSU rRNA". It matches the Rfam family "Bacterial small subunit ribosomal RNA", at positions 395 to 1107 of the family's 1533-position model. Lineage: Bacteria; Pseudomonadati; Pseudomonadota; Gammaproteobacteria; Oceanospirillales; Halomonadaceae. The record is from RNAcentral.